Molecule: ribosomal RNA, 253 nt
Filed under: uncultured bacterium
Lineage: Bacteria
Description: partial 16S ribosomal RNA
Rfam family: Bacterial small subunit ribosomal RNA
Source: RNAcentral
UACGUAGGGUGCGAGCGUUAAUCGGAAUUACUGGGCGUAAAGCGUGCGCAGGCGGUUUUGUAAGCCAGAUGUGAAAUCUCCCGGCUCAACUGGGAGGGGUCAUUCGAUACUGGCGGGCUCGAGGCCGGUAGGGGGAAGUGGAAUUCCCGGUGUAGUGGUGGAAUGCGUAGAUAUCGGGAGGAACACCAGUGGCGAAGGCGGCUUCCUGGACCGGUUCUGACACUGAGGAGCGAAAGCGUGGGGAGCGAUCCGG